GCCGGAGUGGUGGAAGUGGUAGACGCGCCAGACUCAAAAUCUGGUGUCCUUCGGGACGUGAGGGUUCGAGUCCCUCCUCCGGCA
Molecule: transfer RNA, 84 nt
Filed under: bacterium
Lineage: Bacteria
Also listed under: 1 other name
Description: tRNA-Leu
Rfam family: tRNA
About the family: Transfer RNA (tRNA) molecules are approximately 80 nucleotides in length. Their secondary structure includes four short double-helical elements and three loops (D, anti-codon, and T loops).
Source: RNAcentral